This 7358-nucleotide long non-coding RNA is filed under the name Pan troglodytes (chimpanzee). RNAcentral describes it as "lincRNA". Lineage: Eukaryota; Metazoa; Chordata; Mammalia; Primates; Hominidae. The record is from RNAcentral.
CCCUGGUCUGCCGCAGGAGACCCUGCCGAUGCCACUCAGGGUCAAGACUCUGGCGCGGUGGAAACCGCAGAGCAAAAGGAAACACAGACAAAAACAGUGAGAAGGAGAGAGAGCAUGUGGGGCUUUGCCAGAGAGGAACUUGGAUGGCAAUCACCUAAGAACUCCAAACUCAGUGCCAGGGCAGACUGGUGUCUAUUUUGGGAUGGCUCAAGUACUCAAAAGGCAGCACUAAAAUAAGGCUAUGUCUCUUCCUGAGAAUACUCUGGACUUCAUUCUCUGAUUAAAGAUCACAACUGCUUCUUCGUUGAGGAAAUCAUGUAUUUCAAAGCCACCAAUGAACAAGAAUGACAAUCCAUGAAUUACACAGUAAACAAAUACUAUAUGUAUGAGACCGAUUCACUGUCACAAACCUGGAGAAGAAAACCCUUUUGAGGUUUAAAGCUGAGAGGGAGAUAAAAACUUGGUUGUACUACUUCUGGGAAAUGCUGAAGUUAUCCACAUGAUUUUCCAGUCACUGAUUAUUUUAGCAAAGUAACACAAACAGAGGAGGAGCUCUGGACUCUAGCUUCUCAUUUCUAAAAGAACAGAUGUAAUGGGAUGUAUUGGUCCAGCACUGAUAACAGGUUAUCCUACAAUCAAGUAUACUCUUUCCAGAAAGCUGAGUUAGGUAUGUAACUGCCUUUCUAAGCCAUGACUAUAUUGCUAAAUGAAUCAUUGAUUUGGAAAAUCUGAAGUGACCUUCAGCUUGUUCUCCAGCUCUUCCUCAACAGAAAAGAGAGGCAAAAUCAGCAAAAUAUUGGAAAGAGGUAGUUUUUCUAAAGGUAUUUGUGGCAGGUAGAAGAUUGGAGGCCACUCAGCUAUGUGUGUAAGUGUGUGCAGGGAGAAAUUAGGUUCUAUAUUCAGAAGUGACAUUCUUUGUAUUUUCAGUGUGGCUCCAAAAACAGUCUUUUUCUUAUAGUUCAGAGUCAGACACUGCCCUUGGCUUCUCAGCCAUUCUAGUAAACUAUUUGUUACUCAGAAAGCCUCAAAUUCUUCAUUGAAUUUAUUUGGACCAGUUUUUGUGCACUUAUCUCGUUGGCAUGGUAAUAGUCUUUUGAAUAACCAAUACUGUGAACAAUUAUACAAUUAAAAAUUCUACUUCCAUUAUUAUUCUUAACUUCUCCUUUUAUAUUUUGUUACAGUUAUGAGGUAUGUUUUAUUAACUAUUCUAGACAUAGAUCUAGCCCUGCCUUUACUCAGCACUGCCUUGCUCCUUUUCAUGAGGGGUGAUCUAGUUAGACAUAUCAAUAUUCAAUGAAAUGUAUAGAUUACCCUGAUAAAAUGGCUCAAUGAAGUUCAUGUAAGGUCAAUGGAAGAUUAAGGCAUCAUAUGCACUGAGCCACUAAUUGGUCUCAUACUAGUAGGAUAUAGCUAUCCCCACCCCCCUAUAUCUUGAGUCUCCUUCCUCUUAGGUGCUGAGCAUUUCCAAAGGCUUCUCUAGCUGAAGCAGGUAUAAGAAAAUGAAGUGACAUAAAGCAUCAACCCUUAGGUAUAAAUGAUUGGCAAGUCUCAACCUUGCUAAAACUGAAAGACUUUUCAAUUAGCUAUGCUUAAAAAUUUCUACUGAAUUACUGAAGCCAUAAUUAUGUAUGUAAUUCAAGUUUCCUUUGAGCUGACCUACAAUGAAAGAAGUUACCUAGAUGACCUCUUAGGUCCUUUUCUCUCUCCAGCAAUCAUGGAUACUUUACGAAUCUCAUAAGGAGUACAGCUCAUUUAUUAUUAACACCAUUUUAGAAUGAAGGAAGAAGAGGCUUAGAAAGGUUUAGUAGCAGAGAAGAGAGCAGCCUUCUGAUUUGUGGGUUCCACAUUCUGGAUGCAGAAAACUUUCAGUCAUUCUUAUCUAUUGUGAGGUUUGUACCAGUUUCUCCAUAAACUUACAAAACCAAACCAUUUUGACAAGCUUUGUUCCUGCCUCUGACUUCUUUCAGAUAGUGGCUAACCAUCUUCUCAUGAUGAGUCAUUUUUGCUCUUCCUCAUUCCCUUCUUGAUGUUCAAGUAGGUGAACGUGAUGACUAUAAAAGGCAAGCAAUUAAUAUCUGGGGUUAGGCAGAGCUCUGUAAGCCAAUCUCCAAGACUGAGCAAGCUCCUUUGACCUUAACUGUAACCUUGGCACAUGAAAAGCAGCUUCCAUUCCGUUUUACCAACAUUUCGGUCAAAGAUCAAUUGCCAUUGUAAUUAUAUCAUAUAUCACAGGAUGGGGAAUCAGUGAGAGGGCAGGCCCUUUAAACUAAUACAUAUCAUUAGCAUUUAAAGAACAUGAAAAACAAAUUGAACAUUAGUCCUCAUGUAAGUCUUUUUUCUAGAGCAAAUAAUUUUCCAAAUUAAAAUGAAUAAAUUAAUGAAAUUGUCACAUGUCUGAGAAUAAACUAGGUUGGUAAUGCCGUCAAGCUCUUAGCAAAGUUUAGCUCAUUGUGCUUCUCUGUCUGAUCAUUAUAACAUCUAAUCAAGGGGAGCUUAAAUACUUCAAUGAGCUCUCAAAAUAAAUUUGAUCUGAGCAGCUCAGGUCUCAUGGAUUCCUAGGGUUACUGACUAGGUGAAACAUGUUUUUGUUUUAAUCCCUGUCUCAGCUCAAAGAGGAUUAAUGCCCAUAAUUCUCCUAUCCCCAUUUAAUUGAGAAAUGAAAUUUGAAGAGGCACCUCCUGGAACACUCCACUUUGAAAUAUGACCCAUCCACUGUCUAUAUAAUAAAUCUUCCUCUGCUCUCACACACUUAUCCACAUCCUUCCUAUCCCAAAGAAGGAGGAAAGAAAGUUAUUGUGUGUGUGUGUGUGUGUGUGUGUGUUUCUGUGCAUCUAAUCCAAAACACACAAUGUUGUUGUUUUGUUUUUCAAUUUUGGAAUUAUCCUAAUAAAGGCAUUCUCUGGGAAGCUCAGACUGCAUCUCAAACUUUCUCUGACACUAGCAUCCGCAUUGGAACAAAUAGCCCUUUCACUAAAAGCAAUACAGUUAUUGCAUUCAUGUUAUAUGAUUGUAAUUUUCACUUUUGCUUUCAAUACAACAUUAAAAGAAAAAUUGUCUAUAGGAAAGAAAGAGGCAAUAUACUAUAUCCUGGAACUAAUUCUUUGGCAACUGUAAAAAAGGGGGCCAUAAUUCUGAAUAGAGGCUCCUGUCCUAAAACAGACCCAAUGCUAAGAUCUAAUAGAAAGGGCACAGAGAAGCAUAAGGAAACUUAAUGUCACUUUCACGUUUUUUGUACAAGUUGAUGUGAGGAUCUAAAGAGGCAAUUUCUGUAAAAUGCCUAGUAGAGGACCAGGCAUAUAGUAAGCCCUCAGCAAAUGCUGGCUGUUAUCAUUAUGUUUUAUAAAGAAUUUUUACAUCUUCCUCCUAAGCCCUGAGGCUUCAUAACGAAGCCUUAUAUAUGACUCUCAAUGGCUCAAUGUCUUUCCUAACCUAAUGUAGAGAGUGACAUACCAUUGCUUCCAACAUAACCUAUUGGUCACAUGGACCAACAUAAGACCAAUGUGGGAUGACCCUGUACAUAAGGGUAAGAAGCAGGCAUCACUUGGGGCCAUCUCGAAGGAAGGUGACCACAACUGCCUAAUGGCAGUUGAAUCCUUUAUCAAGCUACCCUCAGUAACACUUCAGCUUUCAAGGACCAGGUUUUUGUGACUAUUGUGAACAGGAUUUCAGUGAAUGAAGAUAUAUCCCAAAAUAACAUUUCACUUAAAAGUUGAAUAUCUGUUAUCAAUUUACAAAUGCUUUUAUAUUAUAUCUCACUUGAGCUUCAAAAUAACCUUUUAAGACAGACAAGAGUAGAAACUACUCCAGUGAUUUCAUAGAUAAGGAAACUGAAGAUCAGAGAGACUUAAUGAUUAACCUAAGAUUUAAACUAGAUAUCCUCCUAGCAUUCUCAUGGCACUUAUUCUGCUAGCGUAGGCUGCCUUGUAUAUUUUUUAAAUGACUAUCUGUUUAUGUGCUGGUCAUGGGGUUUGCAGCAAAUCACAAGUGUGUAAUUUUUUUUUCUUAAAGGCAUUUAAUCUACUUUCUAAAAAUCACUAGAAUUCAGAAACUGAUACUACUUCUUUUGUUUCAUUAUUUGCCUCCCUGCCCCCAACACUCAUACAUAUUUAGAGACACGCAUGGACACUCAUGAACACACAUAUUCUUCUUUCUAGUCCCUUAUUAAUGGCAAACUAAAGUUAUUUUAGAAUAUACUAGCUGUCAUUGUGCCACAGAGAAACCUCUCUUUCAUGCAAAUUGAUAUAUGUAUAUAAUCAUACAUGUUUAUAUAUAAACUUUGUAGCUUUCCUCCCUCUUUUCUAAAAUAAAUUACGAAAGGUUGUAUGUUCAGGCUUCACGCAGAAUUUUUCAUUUGAGGGAGACUUUUUCAACCCUUUCUAUUUGAGUUGGUAGCCAUUUAUGUGAAGAGAAAAUGAAUACUAAUGGAAAAUCCUAGAGUGGAUUUGGAAAAUCAUUAUAACAGUUCUGCUAUAUAUUUGGGCCUUUGACAAAACACCCAUUCAAGGAUGAAAAAUCCACUAUUUCUCUUCUGCAUUUCUUUUUCCGAAUACAGCUAGAUUGAAUAACAGGCCAGAUAAAGGAUUCAGAACAAUUGCUUUACUAAGUAAUAGUGAGCCCAUGUUCUAACCAAUGGGACAGAAACUGACCCUCUGUAUCUCUGACACAGUUGCCUUUCAUUGACAGAUUUACAGUGGAGGGGUUGGGAGAGCAGAUGAAUUAAAAAAAAAACAAAAGCAAAUCAAGAUCCCCCAUAAAUUUCACGAUCCCCACAUCUUCCACCUCAGCACCUAUUAGAACACCUUACUCUUAAAUUCUGCACAUGCGGAGAUUUAUUUGUAUCCCAGAGGUUUGCUCAGAUGUUUCCUCUGUGCUUUCAAUGCAGGCCCACCCUUUUCUUUCUUCAUAUUAAAACCACAUAGAUUCUCCUUGAAGCCUUCUCAACUGGUAAUAAUCAUUUACAUCCUUGCUAGUGCUUAUGAUUUUCAAAUUACUUUUAGAUAAUCUAACUCAGCGAUCUCCACACAACCUUAGACACUUAGCCCGGCAAGUAUUGUGCUUUUGCUUUCAUGGAUGAGAAAAAGGAGACUUGGAGUGCUUUGAUUAGCAAACAAGGUUACAGAGCUAAAAAAGGAGUGACACUGGAGUAGAUCCCAGCUUAAAUGAAACCCACUGCUUUACCUGCCCCUAUAGCCUGCAUGAUAUUUCCCUAUUCUGAGUGCUUGGAGCUCUUGGAGUCUCUUACAUCUAAUGUGAUCAUUAAGAGGUACUAACUGUCUGAUUGCUUCUUGUGUGCAGCUAACUCACUGGUGACCCAGCACUUUGGGAGGAUGAGGAGGGUGGAUCACAAGGUCAGGAGUUCGAGACCAGCCUGGCCAACAUGAUGAAACCCCGUCUCUACUAAAAAUACAAAAAUUAGCCAGGCGUGGUGGCAUGCACCUGUAUUCCCAGCUACUUGGGACACUGAGGCAGGAGACUUGCUUGAACCCGGGAGGCAGAGGUUGCAGUGAGCCAAGAUCGUGCCACUGCACUCCAGCCUGGGCGACAGAGUGAGACUCCAUCUCAAAAAUAAGUAAAUGAAUAAAUAAAAAUAAAAUAGAUUGAGCCUCCACAUUUUGCAUGCAGCUUUCUUGGUGCUUGUCCUUCUCCUGUGCUUACUCAAAGAUGGGACAUUGUGCACAAUGAGAAGAGGAUUGGGACCAGUAGGGAAGAAUGAGUUAGAUAUUGUGGGCCCUCUUUUUUUGUUUGUUUGUUUGUUUUUUUUUUGCUCCCAGAAAUCUUUGAGAUUUUAACCUGAAUGGAAAAGACAAUAUGAGGGUGAUGAAAGACUCUAGAUGGUCCGUCUUGGUCUUUGAAAGAUGCUGGAAUAUAUGCCUGCUUGGCCAAUUAGUCCCCAAUAACUAUUCAGUGCCAUAGUACUGUGUGUAGAGAAAACCUCAAUGAAAAGAAAAUGGACAAUCAAGCUGGAUAAAAUACAUCCCUUAAAUGAGAACUAUGCUAUGUGAAAAAAAAAUAGAAGAACAAGUCCUCAGCAAGUCAAUGAUCAUAAGAAAAACAGUUAUAUUGACAAGUUAUUUUGUGUGUUUGAUGUACAAUAUGGAGAAAUAUUAGUAGCCAAAUGAAUGUGACACAUUGACACAGAUGCAUUGUAAAUAUUAUGCUAUUGAGACCAUAGAUUCAGUUACAUUCCUCUGAUGAAUGUGGAUGCUUUCAUUUCCUGUUUUAGAAGGCAACUAACCUGAUUAAUAUCAAACUGCAAGCUCUGCCUUGUUUGCAGUAGGUGACUGCUCAAAUUGUAGUUAUUUUAGCCUCAGCUCUGAGAUAAUUUGUUUCUGUCCUGUUUUUCCCCCAACAAGUAUGGUUCAAGGUUCACAUACAGACUUGGCCAGAGUUCAUAUGCAGACUUUUAACUGCCUUCUUCCCAGGAUUUCCUCUCCAUUUUUGGGGUGGGUGGGCAGUGGGGUGCUGUGGUUGCACUGGGUCCUGUCAUCUGGUUCUUACCAACACAAAAUAUGAAGGUUUUUAAAGGAGUUUCAGUUAUUCUAAUUAUCCUGUACCUUAAGUUGUCUUUCUAAUACCUAGUGCUGGUUUCUUCUAAAUGUCAAAUCUUUUACAAAAACUGUUCUGUCUCAGGAAUUGUGUGUGUGUGAUUGUGCAUAUUCAGACUUUAUAGUUGUUACCUGCACGACUGUCAGUCUAGUAGGAAUUCAUUCCAGCCUACUAGAAGAAAAAGUUUAUAUAUCAAUUUUGCAGAAAAAUAAUCCAAAUUGUAUAGGAUAUUACUCAAAAAGAAAACUUCAGAAAAGUUGUUUAAAUUUAUAAUCUUUUAGUUUUAAGCAAAUAUUUGUUAAACAUGCUUACUUCUCAGUUAGUGGAACAGAAGAAAAAAAAUGUAAUGUCAUCCCUGAAUUCAGACACACAACACUUAAGAAAUUACAUUCAAAACAUAGGUGCUUUAACUUGAUAAGUACUUUAAAUGCAAUGCUAUAUCCAUUGUUUUCAAUGAACAUAGCAACAUUUUACAUGCACAAUAUAAUAAUGUGGUAAUUGCCAGAAAUAGUCCCUUUUUGCAAAUAUUUAAUGUAAUUCUACAGGAAAAAAUUUUAAGGCAGUAAAAUAAAAUGUAUUUCACGAUCUGCAAUGAUGUGUACCUUACUUUAGCCUUUUACUGCAACUAACUUCAGCAAAUAAAAUUUGGUGAAUAAUCUGUAUUUUCUUCUUUUCUUUCUUUUUUUUUCUUGUAAGCCUCUCUCCCUUCCUGUCUCCAUUCUUUCCUACAAGGAAUAUUGGGUAUUUAUUAUGUGCAUGGCACAUUCUAAAGCAGUGAAGAUGAGACAGUAAAUAUUUCAGGGACAGUAUCA